UGAACUUUGUGGUGAGCUAAAACUGAUUAAUUGUGCAUAAUAAUUUAUAGUAGCAGUAAUUGAACUAUUUUGGUCGCUGAUCUCAAAAGAGGUUAAGGCUAAUCACCCAAAGAUUAUCAGCUUGCUGGGGUUGUUGCGGUUGAAGUCACAGGAGGGCCAACCAUCGACUUUGUUCCAGGAAGAAUGGAUUGCGCAGAUUCUCCUGAUGAAGGACGCCUUCCUGAUGCAAAUCAAGGUGCCGGACAUUUGAGAGAAAUCUUUUACAGAAUGGGGCUUUCUGACAAGGAUAUUGUCGCGCU
This is a long non-coding RNA of Spinacia oleracea (spinach), 299 nucleotides long. RefSeq lists it as uncharacterized. The transcript has 4 exons. The record is from RefSeq and is a predicted model, not a curated record. NCBI's taxonomy places the organism in Eukaryota, Viridiplantae, Streptophyta, Magnoliopsida, Caryophyllales, Amaranthaceae.